CUCUAGCGACCCCAUGGACUGCAGCCUACCAGGCUCCUUCGUCCAUGGGAUUUUCCAGGCAAGAGUACUGGAGUGGGCUGCCAUUGCCUUCUCUGAACUAAGAUGCAGAUGUGACUUAUUUCCCACCUGAUGAGCAGUGGUCAUCAGUGGCUUAUAAAAGGGGCAAGAUCAAAAGCUCUGUUGGAGUAGGUGCCGAAGGUAACGAACCGUAGACUUCUGGCAGUUUUGCAAUAGAGAAAUGGAGGGUAGUUCCCUUUUUUAAGAUGGGGGAAUUCCACUGUAUGUUGAUAAGGAAGAUGAACAGGGAGAAAUGGGUGAGUAGGGCAGAGAAGCAGUGUCCUAGAGAAGACUGCACUGUUUUCAGGGUGUUUCCAAAGCUCUCUGCACUCCCCUUGGAUCUCUCUCUCUUCCUGACAAGACUGGGAGCUCUUGAGGCGGGUAUCCCCACUUAAAGCAGUAUUGGCCUUCACCAAACUCGAGCGCUCCUACUUAGGCAGAAGGAGAUGGGAUCUAGCAUAGGCGUGAAGUGGCUGUUCUUUGCUGGGAACCUAACAUCUCAUACCACCCAUAGUUAGGAGAACAAGCAGAAGGCAAGAGGAGAGGGCCAGGCUGGAGGUAGAUGUGAUAGUGGGAAGCUCCCUGUGAGUUCUGCGCCUCUAUUAAGUAGGAAGUGGCUGUUGGCUGAAAGAGGAUGGGGUGACCAAAGCGCAUGUGUCUGUAUGAGUCCUCCAUGCCCAGGAGAGGGGUCAUGUAUUUUUGAGAGAAUAAAUGAAUGGUUAAGUGACUUGUCUGUCUAGAUGAGCCUGUGAUUUUAUAGUUACAUGUUAACAGUGAAGAAGUAAUCAAAAUUUCCUUAGCAUCCGGAAUGGCCCUUCUUUUUAGCUGAGUUGAAUCUUCAGCAUCUAAAUAUUUUCUUUCCUUCAGGUGAUUUUCCUUGUCAUUGAAGAAUCUUACCUUGACACCAAAUUUAACUACAUUUAGAAAUUCAGGUCAACAGAUUUAAGUAUUUAUAACUAAUGCUGCUUAAAUGCUGGAAGUGGAAGAAAAUACAUUGCCUAAAGAGCUCAUCAAAGCCUAGUCAGGAAAAGAAAUGUCCUAGGUAAGCAUGGAGAGCUUUCAGGAAGAUGGCUUGUCAAAAAUCCUUUCUUGCCCAUUCAGAUGAUUCUAGGAAAUAGAGCAAGUCUACUUUGUAGACAUAGUGUUGGGAGAAGGACAUAGAGAUGCCAACUCCUAUUACUCUCACUUCUCGCCGUGGUUCCAUGGAAGGACACUCCCAGUUCCAGGCCUUCUGUCUGUUUACGUUACUCUUGGCAGUGGGAAGUUUGAAGGGCAGAUUUCAUUUCCAGAGAACCCAUGGGGCAGUGAGCUAAGGACCAGGGCUCAUGCCCUCUCUGUUUGCCUUUCCCUGCUCCUGUCCUGACUUCCUGCUUCCCAAGAGUCAUACAGAAGAAAUGGAGCAUAUUUAGCUUAUUUUUUCUGAAAACCUGGUCAGUGACAGACCUAAUUGGCUCACCACUGGAUUUUGCCUAGAGAGUCAGGAAGUAAGAGAUACUUUGUCAAUUUUUCUCUUUAUUGAGUCUUGCUAAACAGUACUCUUGCUGUGUGAUGAUUGCACAUUUAUAAAUCCAGCUCUACUAAUUACCUGAACUUAAGUAGGGUGUGACUCUUUAACCUGAAUUAAUCAUAAUAAUAUUCUUUAGAAUCCCUUACACUUUUACAGGCUGAUCUUUGCUGUCUUUUUUCCUUGUUUCUGACAGAUGUCAUUUUUGGGUUCUGUUUUCUCCUUUCCAGUCCUAGGUCUAAUUCAGGCCCUUAUCUUCAGGAGCCUUUUAAGUUGUCCUCUCAUCCAUCCAAAGGACUCCUACUCAUUCUUCAUGCUGCUCUCACAUUAAUCUCCUUAGAGUAAGCACAUCCCUUGCUCUUAGACUUGAGUGGCUGCCCACUGUUUUCAGAAUCAAGUCCAAACUCCUCUGAAGCCCAGCUUUCUGUCAUGACGUCAGUAUGCUCCCAUGAUGAAGCAGCAUUUAUUUCAGUAGUGGGUUCAGAUGCGCUUGUUUUUAGUGAAAUACCAGAAUCAUUCUUGCCAAUGGCAGCCGUUCUAUAACUUAAAAAUAUUUUGUCAGAGAAAUAGCAAUAGUGACUCAUUGAGAAAACUUCCUUAAUCUUCUGACUCUUCUUGAAGACUUUCUGCUCAGGGGACUAUAACUCUCUGAUGCUCUGACAUUUUUAUAAUUUCUUUCACUACAAGCAGUUCAAAGUAUUGAUGCAUAUAACCUUGUUGCUGGCUGUGGUAAGUCUCAAGCAUCAGAAAAUGGAUAGCUUCAGAUACUUUGCUAGGCACACCAGUAUUUUAAAUCCGAAUUGAUAUACUUGGUGCUUUAAGACAGAUGGUUCAUUGCUUGUGAGGCUAAGAGCAUUUGGCAGUACUGAAAUUGAGCCUUCUGUUCAAUCCAGAAUAAUUCAGUGAUGAGUGGGCAACUUUGUACUUUUUUCUUUUUUUUUUUGCUGGAUUUGAAUAUUUGGAAGUGUUUUAGCUUACAUAUUAACUAUAUGUGAGUGCCUUCAUAAAAUGACAUUCCAAGCAUAGGCAAAUACAUAAUCAGUGGGUAAGCACUAUAUCAGUUUGGCAUAUGGCACCACUUGUUUUUAUUUUCAUUAUAGGGAUGUUCCUAGUAAGAUUAGCAAGUAUUCGGCCACAUUUAAACAUGGGCACAAAACUUUCCAGGUUUAAAGUUAACUGUUAGGUAGGCUCAGGUUAGUUAACAUCCAAGGGGAGGAUUUUUGAAUGUGAUUGAAGUGAGUCUGAAGAAGCAGAGGUUUUUAGGUCUCAUGUUGGUCAUCUCUCCUCAGUUUCAUGUGAUCCCUCAGGUAACACCUCUCCUCAGGUACCUUGCUGAGACAGCGUUUCCUUCUUUAAGGCCUGGCUAGAGGAAUGCAAAGAAAAGCAUCUUUAAAGCCCUGUGUUUUGUUACUUAAAUUAGAAAUCAUUUUGUAUUCUUUUUGAUUUGUAGCUUGUUAGAGCUUUCUUAGUAAUUAGCUGGAGAUGUCUUUUCUCCAUGUGUUUUCAAAGUAGGACUUACAUAAUUCUGUGGUCAUUAGGGGCGAUUGGGUGUUGGGAAGACAGCAGCCCUAGUAGCCCAGAACACAGGAACAGCCCGUGGGCCGUCUACAGGGCAACAGCAGUAGCACUGUCACUCUGCAGUCGGCCCUGGGUUUGGGGUUUUGAUGGGUGGAGGAUGUUGAUGGUUAAUUUAGCAGAGGGUGCUAUGAUGUGGAGAAAAUAUCCACCUCAUUUAAGCUUUGGGAAAAGGUUAACUCGUUUGAGCUGAAGUUAAAAAUACUGUUUUGCCUGCUCUCUUAAUGCUGAAAGGAUAAAGAGAUCAAUAAAAAGUUUCCUUGGAUUCUGUAAGUCAGACUUGUCUCUAUUUUUUCUACAUUUCCAGGGAAGCCAAGAUCACACAUAAAGGGGCAUUCUGUAUUUUUAUUGAUUCUAUAAUGUAAAUUCUUUUCUGACAAUAAAUGCAUUGUGAAGGGUACUCUGACCGCUUUUCUAGAUUCAUUUCAUAUAACACAUUCAUGGACUGAUCUCUGUAAGAGUCACUUCUUCACCAUCUGCAGCUUUGAACACACCUGGAAGCCUUAGUUCCUGUCUGCUGGGCAGUGGCAUACAUGGGACAGUGGAACAAGAAGAGUGCUUUAGGAGGACAUGUGCACAGCCAAGUGGCUCGUUGCGUCUCUAAGAAUCACUGCCAUCUGCUUAUUUAACACAGGGACAGUAACCUUAGCUCUGAGGUCAGGUCCCCUCUAGACCAGAAAUCUUUAAAAUCAUCAUUUCUAGUAAAAUGUUAUCCUCAAAUAAAACAUUUUAUCAUUGAAUAAAAUAUAAACUAAUUACCAAGAGUUUCCACCUGACACAUUUUGACACUUUUGAAAGAAUAGAUCACAACUUUUAAAUUUUCAUUGUAUUAUCAUUUAGAGUAAUUAAAGGUCAUUGAUAUAUUAUGAUAGUUUCUUUGUGAGUAAUACAUUCCAAUAGUAAUGACUUCAAUUCUCCUGGAUCUCCAGUUUUUGAACUCGGGGGCCAAAAUAACUACCAGCCUGUGAUGGAGUAACUGAACUCUCACAUUUUCUGUGUACUGUCUUAUUCUAUAAGUAGAACUUUCUUUUCUUUUUUUUUUUAACUUCGCUGGGCCUGAAUUUUCUCAAUUAUCUAAAAGAACGAAAAACUGAGCAACACUGCAGAAAUGUAGUGAUGGGGAAAAUGUGUUUAGUAGCGAAACACUGGGUGGUAUAAAGUAUCUGGAAAGACUUCUUUUAAGCAGUAAAACAAGACAGUUGCAAAUUGUAUGGAUAAUCACAUGUUUGAGUACAGCGUGAAGCUUCACUAUUAGAACAUUGUUUUUGCUCGUGCUAAUAGGUUAUGUCGCAUCUUUCUUUGUUGUUUUUUUGUUUGUUUUUGUCUCUGGGCUCUGAAGAUUGAAGUUUACUAUUAAUUGCCAAGAAGGACAUAAAAGAGGUGUGGUGGAAGGGUCUGCCAGAACCAGAGGCUAAGCACACAGCAGUGUAAAACAAAUUCUUUAUUCCAGCUUCCAGAAUGCAUCCUCUUCAGCCUUUCCUGUUCAUUGGACUAAAGCUGUUAAGCAGUGGUGUCAAGAACCGUCACCCACUGGUUGAAGCUCAAUAGAAAACGAGGAAGCAGGCGGGUUUAGAUCCAGUGGGAACAACUUGACUCAGAUCUUCGCACUUUCACUAAGGAGGGUCGGGGGUGAGGAGACAACAUUUACAUUUGUACUGAAGCUGAUCUGAUGUGAUUGUGACAGUCUUCCAAUCAGUAUUUGUUUAUCUUAAUUUAGUCAUGUGUUAAAAAUGUGAGGGUCAAAUUUACUUCCUCUCAAGGCCACUCGGCAUACACUUCUUGUAGUCUUUGGAAGGGAUGACAAGGAAACAGCCGUGCUUUAAUGAUGGUGCUAGAUGUUUAUGAAAGCUAGGUGUAAUAGUAGAAACAUUUUAUUCUAUAUUUUUAUUCCAAAGUAAAUGCAGUGUAUUAUAUUUAGAUAAAUGUUCAGUGAUAAGCCAGAAAUCUUACACAUACAUUGCUGAAAGACAUUUUCCCUCUGGAUUUAAUAAAAUUCUGGCACACAGAGGUACAAAAUAUAAUUCACAGAUGUAAUGAAAAACCUAGAAAACUUCUUCCCACAUGUUUUCCUUCCUUCCCCUCCCCUCCUGUCGCUUUCCUCCUCUUCUCCACCCCACCCUCCAGUCUUGCUUGCCUUCAUUGCAGGGAAAAAAAAAAAAAAAAAAGAGCAGGUGAGCACAUAAUUAGAUCGCCACUUUAAACUCUGGGUUAGUGGGAGAUCCUGGAAGACCUUCCUCAACUGCAACAAAUGACUUUUUCCACCCCCAUCUGCAUCCUCCCACUACUUUUGAUUAAAUGUUUUUGAGAAUCCGCCAAUAUUUUUAAUUGAUCAAGUGAAAAAUGCGCAGGAAGUAUGCCUGUUUUUGUUUGUAUAUUGUCUUGAUGCGUUGCAUAAAGACCCAAAGGUGCUUUUGCUUCUCUCUGUCCUCACGAGAACUGUGGUUACUGUGGGGUGUGUGGUACUCUGUAGCACACCGUAAAUCUCCACUAGGUGUCAGCGUGUCACCAAGUGAAACCAGCACACUCUGCUGCCCAUUUAAUGAGAAUGCUACAGACAAGUUUUGGUAUACAGGUUAAUAAAUUAUAUUUGUCAGUGAAUAGUAAUAAAAAUGAAAUCUUUAAAAAAUUUAGUAUCUUUCAUCUGAGGUUUUCAAAAUGUUUUACUUAUAUUUUGGUUUUUGCCGUAAGAGCCCCAAAGAGAUAGAGUGCAAAUAUUCGUUUUACAGUAAAAUAAAGCAAGAGGACAAAAUGAUUGGCUCAAGAUCACAUAGACGAUGUCUGAAUAAACCCAGGCUGGUAUUUCUGCCGUCACAGAGUCCACUGUACCUGUGUGCUCAGAUUUAUUAAAAGUGGAAUAAUAGUUAAGAAUUAUCUAAGAUUAUUGAUACGAUUAGUAUGGGGAUGUUUCAGAUGUAAUUUUAAGGUUUUAUAAAGACUGCACAAAGAAAAUGUGCUGAACAACCUAGAUGAAAACUAGAAAUUCAUAGCAAUAUUUUACCUGUGCUAUUUUACAGAUGGUGAACUCAGACCAGUGUGACCCUUGUCUUAGCUCAUGUGCUCAAGUGCAGGAGGAGAAGCAAUUAUAAUUUGGUCUGGAAGGUUGAAGCUCUUGGGUAUGAUAGGAUUAAUGGGCAUAACUGCAUAUUAUGGGUUUUUCACUGUAUCAUUUUCUUUAAGAGGAAUAUACAUAAAAUCCUGUAUAUUAAGACUUAAGUGAUUUUCUCAAAUCUGUAUAAAUACACGUUACAACUGUAAAAGUUAUGUUUGUGGAUAACAAUUAAAAAUACAUAAAUGGCAAGUUAGGGUGGUGUGAUGAUGGGUAAAUUCAAUUUUCUCUUUAUGUGGUAAUAUUGUUUCUACAAUAAAUAAAAAGAGAAAACUUUUUUUUUUUUGUAAAAAUUCACCACAGUCUCCACUUCAGAAAGGCUUAUUUCCUAUUAGUAGUGGUGCAUUGUAUACAGCUGAAAUUCAAAAGGUAUAGUUUGGUUUAUUUACUUCAAAUGUUUUAAUCAUAAAAACCAAGGUUAAACUGGCAGAAGAACAUACUUUCAAACUUUACUGUGUAUUUUAGGUGAAAAUAAAUGAUUGCCCAUCCCAGGAGGCUGUUUGC
Capra hircus (goat) is the source of this 6746-nucleotide long non-coding RNA. RefSeq lists it as uncharacterized. The record is from RefSeq and is a predicted model, not a curated record. NCBI's taxonomy places the organism in Eukaryota, Metazoa, Chordata, Mammalia, Artiodactyla, Bovidae. The transcript has 2 exons.